GACGAACGCUGGCGGCGUGCCUAAUACAUGCAAGUCGAACGCUUCUUUCCUCCCGAGUGCUUGCACUCAAUUGGAAAGAGGAGUGGCGGACGGGUGAGUAACACGUGGGUAACCUACCCAUCAGAGGGGGAUAACACUUGGAAACAGGUGCUAAUACCGCAUAACAGUUUAUGCCGCAUGGCAUAAGAGUGAAAGGCGCUUUCGGGUGUCGCUGAUGGAUGGACCCGCGGUGCAUUAGCUAGUUGGUGAGGUAACGGCUCACCAAGGCCACGAUGCAUAGCCGCCCUGAGAGGGUGAUCGGCCACACUGGAACUGAGCCACGGCCCAGCCUCCUACGGGAGGCAGCAGUAGGGAAUCUUCGGCAAUGGACGAAAGUCUGACCGAGCAACGCCGCGUGAGUGAAGAAGGUUUUCGGAUCGUAAAACUCUGUUGUUAGGGAAGAACAAGGACGUUAGUAACUGAACGUCCCCUGACGGUAUCUAACCAGAAAGCCACGGCUAACUACGUG
RNAcentral lists this ribosomal RNA (508 nucleotides) under uncultured bacterium. RNAcentral's name for it is "partial 16S ribosomal RNA". It matches the Rfam family "Bacterial small subunit ribosomal RNA", at positions 28 to 507 of the family's 1533-position model. The record is from RNAcentral.